GGCUUAAACGUGGUGUAGUGGUUGGAGGCUAUGGACUAUGACUCUGGAGACCAGGGUUCAAAUCCCAGCUUAGCCA
Phrynosoma platyrhinos (Desert horned lizard) is the source of this 76-nucleotide non-coding RNA. The record is from the annotation of a GenBank genome assembly. Lineage: Eukaryota; Metazoa; Chordata; Lepidosauria; Squamata; Phrynosomatidae.